UCUCUUUGCACCACUUGCAAGUUGAUUGCAUUUCAAUGAAGUUUCUGCGAGGCAGCUAAAAAUAGCGUCGUGCGGGGGAAAUCUCUAGCAUGGGAGGCGGGCGCAUUCCAAGUGCAACAACAACAACAACAACAACAGCUACAGCGAUUCCAAAUGCCAUCCAUCCAUCCAUCUAUUACGGACAAAACGGGUUUCGAUCAGAAGCGUGCCGGCGGCGGCGUCUCUACCGGUCGGUCGUGCUUCUAACUGAAACCGAAAUGAGUCGAUAUUUUCCCCGCUGGAUCGACUAGGGUUUGGGCCUGCUUGGGGGUGUCCCCCAGUUGAAAUUGUGGCACACGUAACCCACCUGAAUACGGACAGCGGCCUGCAGCUUGGGUAAACUCCAGCGAACGACUGCGAACGGCGGGGGCGUUACCCAAAGCCCCCCAUACACGCUGAGGGGCGUAUCGGGUUAUUUGUAAGCAUUUAAAGGAUCAUUAGAUCAUGUCUGGGAAAGAUAUUCAAUCAUUUGGCUAAACAAAUGAUGCACGGAUUGUGGAAAUUACUGAGAAUUCGGAUAGCUAAUG
RNAcentral lists this long non-coding RNA (566 nucleotides) under Drosophila guanche. The record is from RNAcentral. Lineage: Eukaryota; Metazoa; Arthropoda; Insecta; Diptera; Drosophilidae.